UACGGAAGGCAGCAGUGGGGAAUAUUGCACAAUGGGCGAAAGCCUGAUGCAGCUAUGCCGCGUGUAUGAAGAAGGCCUUAGGGUUGUAAAGUACUUUCAUCGGGGAGGAAAAACAAAACUAAUAAUUUUAUUUCUUGACGUUACCCGAAAAAGAAGCACCGGCUAACUCCGUGCCAGCAGCCGCGGUAAUACGGAGGGUGCUAGCGUUAAUCAGAAUUACUGGGCGUAAAGAGCACGUAGGUGGUUUUUUUAAGUCAGAUGUGAAAUCCCUGGGCUUAACCUAGGAACUGCAUUUUGAAACUGAAAUACUAGAGUAUCGUAGAGGGAGGUAGAAUUCUAGGUGUAGCGGUAAAUGCGUAGAUAUCUGGAGGAAUACCUGUGGCGAAAGCGGCCUCCUAAACGAAUACUGACACUGAGGGUGCGAAAGCGUGGGGAGCAAACAGGGAUUAGAUACC
This 455-nucleotide ribosomal RNA is filed under the name uncultured bacterium. RNAcentral's name for it is "bacterial SSU rRNA". It matches the Rfam family "Bacterial small subunit ribosomal RNA", at positions 340 to 786 of the family's 1533-position model. The record is from RNAcentral.